GGGUAGUUUGACUGGGGCGGUCUCCUCCUAAAGAGUAACGGAGGAGCACGAAGGUCAGCUAAUCCUGGUCGGACAUCAGGAGGUUAGUGCAAUGGCAUAAGCUGGCUUGACUGCGAGCGUGACGGCGCGAGCAGGUGCGAAAGCAGGUCAUAGUGAUCCGGUGGUUCUGAAUGGAAGGGCCAUCGCUCAACGGAUAAAAGGUACUCCGGGGAUAACAGGCUGAUACCGCCCAAGAGUUCAUAUCGACGGCGGUGUUUGGCACCUCGAUGUCGGCUCAUCACAUCCUGGGGCUGAAGUAGGUCCCAAGGGUAUGGCUGUUCGCCAUUUAAAGUGGUACGCGAGCUGGGUUUAGAACGUCGUGAGACAGUUCGGUCCCUAUCUGCCGUGGGCGCUGGAGAAUUGAGGGGGGCUGCUCCUAGUACGAGAGGACCGGAGUGGACGCAUCACUGGUGUUCGGGUUGUCAUGCCAAUGGCAUUGCCCGGUAGCUAAAUGCGGAAGAGAUAAGUGCUGAAAGCAUCUAAGCACGAAACUUGCCCCGAGAUGAGUUCUCCCUGACUCCUUGAGAGUCCUGAAGGAACGUUGAAGACGACGACGUUGAUAGGCCGGGUGUGUAAGCGCAGCGAUGCGUUGAGCUAACCGGUACUAAUGAACCGUGAGGCUUAACCUUAC
Molecule: ribosomal RNA, 670 nt
Filed under: Klebsiella oxytoca
Lineage: Bacteria; Pseudomonadati; Pseudomonadota; Gammaproteobacteria; Enterobacterales; Enterobacteriaceae
Description: partial 23S ribosomal RNA
Rfam family: Bacterial large subunit ribosomal RNA
Source: RNAcentral